GCCUGGGUGGCUUAGUCGGUUGAGCGUCUGACUUUGGCUCAGGUCGUGAUUUCACAGUUCUUGGGUUCGAGCCCCACAUUGGGCU
RNAcentral lists this transfer RNA (85 nucleotides) under Felis catus (domestic cat). It matches the Rfam family "tRNA". From Rfam's summary of the family: Transfer RNA (tRNA) molecules are approximately 80 nucleotides in length. Lineage: Eukaryota; Metazoa; Chordata; Mammalia; Carnivora; Felidae. The record is from Rfam by way of RNAcentral.